Mycena leptocephala is the source of this 92-nucleotide non-coding RNA. Lineage: Eukaryota; Fungi; Basidiomycota; Agaricomycetes; Agaricales; Mycenaceae. The record is from the annotation of a GenBank genome assembly.
GGCCCAAUAGCACAGUUGGUUAGUGCGUCUGCUCCAAAUGAUGGGAACGCAUUGCAAGCAGGAGGACCCUCGUUCAAUUCGGGGUUGGGCCA